CAGCCGCCGCGGUAAUACGUAGGUGGCAAGCGUUGUCCGGAAUUAUUGGGCAUAAAGGGCUCGCAGGCGGUUUCUUAAGUCUGAUGUGAAAGCCCCCGGCUCAACCGGGGAGGGUCAUUGGAAACUGUGAAACUUGAGUGCAGAAGAGGAGAGUGGAAUUCCACGUGUAGCGGUGAAAUGCGUAGAGAUGUGGAGGAACACCAGUGGCGAAGGCGACUCUCUGGUCUGUAACUGACGCUGAGGAGCGAAAGCGUGGGGAGCGAACAAGAUUAGAUACCCCGGUAGUCCCUGUCUCUUAUAC
RNAcentral lists this ribosomal RNA (301 nucleotides) under uncultured bacterium. Its description in RNAcentral is "partial 16S ribosomal RNA". It matches the Rfam family "Bacterial small subunit ribosomal RNA", at positions 509 to 807 of the family's 1533-position model. The record is from RNAcentral.